Long non-coding RNA from Topomyia yanbarensis, 1648 nucleotides. RefSeq lists it as uncharacterized. The transcript has 2 exons. The record is from RefSeq and is a predicted model, not a curated record. NCBI's taxonomy places the organism in Eukaryota, Metazoa, Arthropoda, Insecta, Diptera, Culicidae.
AAAUACAGGAUUGUGAUAUGAAAGAAUGUUCUGUUAUUUUAUUUAUUCAUUCAUUUAUUAAUUUGUUAUUGUACCACAAAUGCAGCAUAUAUUUUAAAUGCUGAUUCAGAAUUUUUGGUCUAGUGAUCCUUGAAGUCUAUAAAUCGAUGGAUGUGUCAAAUUUAGAAAAAGCGAAAUGGCUCCAAGAAAAAAAAUAAUCGUCGAAACGAGGUAUAUUGCACCCAAGGAAUCGGUGAACCUGCAUCCACGGUUAGGUACCAUCCAGCCCGGGGACAACUUGACAGAUAGUGCUUGUUUCAUAUAUGUACCACCGAUUUGAUGGUGGCGCUAGUAUGCCUUUUCUGUACGACUACCACGAACAACGACACGAAAAAGUUUCAAGAGAAAAGCGUGUUUCGUUACGUGUGUUAUGAACGCCGUCAAUGCGGCUAGAACAACAUUUAGAAAAAGCGUAUUCCAAAAUGUGGAUAAAGAAAAAUAUUAUUAGAGAAUAAAUUUAUCCCUGAUUGGAAACCGUCAGCAAAGUUACAUAAAUCUUAUUAUAGAUUUAGCUGGAAGGUGUUGUUUUUAGCAACCGGCUCUCUUCCUUCCUAAAAAUGUUUUGGUUUUCUUGUUGUGUGAAGUUUGUAAUCGGUAAAUCAUUGGUGUUAUAAAUGAAAUAUAAAUGAAAAACUUUUUGGCCAAUGAAAGUAAAUCACCAAGCUUAACAAUUCGUGAACCUGCGACAUCUUGUUUCAAGUUCAUUAAGAACGUCAAGAAUUCUAGCAUUUUGAUUGGGAGAAUAAACAAUAUAUGUAGGAUUUUCUACACAUUUAGCAAAAUUGGUUUUGAAUAAAAUUUGUGUGUUUUUAUCAGAAUUCUGGCAUCAAACCAGUAGUGCUCGGUUUCAGCAAGAAUGCUGCCAGGAAUGUACAAUUUUGUACGACUUCGGCCAGAGUUUUCUUCGACUUUUGCAAUAAUUCUGUCCGGAAGAUGUUGCGAUGGUUUUGGUAUGGAUCCCUUCACAAUUAUUCUGGCAUUUUCCUCGGCUCUACCGGAGGAUUUCAUGCCUUAGGAGAUGUUGAUUAGUUUCGGAAGAUUUUCGGAAAUUCCAAUAUAAGUGGUAGUGGCUUGAUUUUGAAAGUCAUCUUCUUGUAUUUCCGAAAAUCGAUUUAUUUUCUUUCGGAUUUUUAAAAUUCCAAAUGGAAUCUAUGUUUCUGUUUAAGUAUGGGGGAAUGAGGACAGUUUCUAAUGUGAACAGCGAAAUAAAUUUGAUGAAAGAAAUGCUUAAAUUGAUUAUUUUUUAGAUAUGGAAAAUAGUAAAUGGGAUGCGCCUUUUUCAAAUUUUGCUCCAUUCGAGCCGCCAUGACAUCACCAAAUCACCACAAAAUUUGCUUAUGAGUUCAAUAUAUGGGAGCUGUCAAGUUGUCCCCGGGCUGGUACCAUCUGAGCGACCAAUGGAAGAAUACUAAGGCUUUAGGGCUAAUCUCAGUGGUAACGUUGGAUAGUUCGGAAGGGAUUGUCUCUAAUCGGAGCUUACUGGUGGUUGUCCUAAUCGAAGUUUACUGAGUUUAUUUGUUCAAUAUAAAUAAAUAUGUUUAGGCACGAAAUGUAAGAUAGUAACAAUAGUAUUCAUUCAUAAAAACCUUUGUGUGGGCAGGUUUCAAUA